AGCAGCCGCGGUAAUUCCAGCUCCAAUAGCGUAUAUUAAAGUUGUUGCAGUUAAAAAGCUCGUAGUUGAAUUUUGGGUCUGGCCGGGCGGUCCGCCCUCCGGGUGAGCACUGUUCCGACGCCGGGCCUAUCCUUCUGGAGAGUCGGCAUGUCCUUUAUUGAGUGUGCCGGGGAACCAGGACCAUUACCUUGAAAAAAUUAGAGUGUUCAAAGCAGGCGUAUGCUCGGAUACAUUAGCAUGGAAUAAUGAAAUAGGACGCGUGGUGCUAUUUUGUGGUUUCUAGAACCGCCGUAAUGAUUAAUAGGGAUAGUUGGGGGCAUUAGUAUUCAAUUGUCAGAGGUGAAAUUCUUGGAUUUAUUGAAGACUAACUUCUGCGAAAGCAUUUGCCAAGGAUGUUUUCAUUAAUCAAGAACGAAAGUUAGGGGAUCGAAGACGAUCAGAUACCGUCGU
This 450-nucleotide ribosomal RNA is filed under the name uncultured Ambispora. RNAcentral's name for it is "SSU rRNA". It matches the Rfam family "Eukaryotic small subunit ribosomal RNA", at positions 569 to 1021 of the family's 1831-position model. Lineage: Eukaryota; Fungi; Glomeromycota; Glomeromycetes; Archaeosporales; Ambisporaceae. The record is from RNAcentral.